This 204-nucleotide long non-coding RNA is filed under the name Carica papaya (papaya). Its description in RNAcentral is "long non-coding RNA (CPAP_LNC011564)". The record is from RNAcentral. Lineage: Eukaryota; Viridiplantae; Streptophyta; Magnoliopsida; Brassicales; Caricaceae.
UCUUAGAAUGUGCAAGAAAACACUAAAUCUCUUACCGAUUACUAACAACUCUUGGUAAGCUAGUCCCCUUUUCUUCUCUUUUUCAUUCUUUCUCUCUCUAGCUUUCUUUCUUGAGAAUUUCGAUCUUUGAGGGUGAAAAUGGGUGAGGAAGAGUGGUGGAAGAGGUCUCUAUUUAUAAAGGCAGAGAAUCAUUAGAUUUGUGAC